RNAcentral lists this ribosomal RNA (528 nucleotides) under Astigmata sp. FORB2F3mars. RNAcentral describes it as "SSU rRNA". It matches the Rfam family "Eukaryotic small subunit ribosomal RNA", at positions 891 to 1437 of the family's 1831-position model. Lineage: Eukaryota; Metazoa; Arthropoda; Arachnida; Sarcoptiformes. The record is from RNAcentral.
UUAGUAUUGCGACGCUAGAGGUGAAAUUCUUGGACCGUCGCAAGACUAACUAAAGCGAAAGCAUUUGCCAAGAAUGUUUUCAUUAAUCAAGAACGAAAGUUAGAGGUUCGAAGGCGAUCAGAUACCGCCCUAGUUCUAACCAUAAACGAUGCCAACCAGCAAUCAGCCUGUGUUCUCUUGAUGACACGGCUGGCGGCUUCCGGGAAACCAAAGUUUUUCGGUUCCAGGGGAAGUAUGGUUGCAAAGCUGAAACUUAAAGGAAUUGACGGAAGGGCACCACCAGGAGUGGAGCCUGCGGCUUAAUUUGACUCAACACGGGGAAACUCACCCGGCCCGGACACUGUGAGGAUUGACAGGUUGAAGCCCUUUCUUGAUUCAGUGGGUGGUGGUGCAUGGCCGUUCUUAGUUGGUGGAGUGAUUUGUCUGGUUAAUUCCGAUAACGAACGAGACUCUAGCCUACUAAUUAGACCGUGGCGUCCUUCGUGCCGCCACGGCGCUUCCUAGAGGGACAGACGACGUUUCAGCCGU